RNAcentral lists this ribosomal RNA (290 nucleotides) under Salmonella enterica subsp. enterica serovar Montevideo. RNAcentral's name for it is "partial 16S ribosomal RNA". It matches the Rfam family "Bacterial small subunit ribosomal RNA", at positions 108 to 401 of the family's 1533-position model. Lineage: Bacteria; Pseudomonadati; Pseudomonadota; Gammaproteobacteria; Enterobacterales; Enterobacteriaceae. The record is from RNAcentral.
GAGUAAUGUCUGGGAAACUGCCUGAUGGAGGGGGAUAACUACUGGAAACGGUGGCUAAUACCGCAUAACGUCGCAAGACCAAAGAGGGGGACCUUCGGGCCUCUUGCCAUCAGAUGUGCCCAGAUGGGAUUAGCUUGUUGGUGAGGUAACGGCUCACCAAGGCGACGAUCCCUAGCUGGUCUGAGAGGAUGACCAGCCACACUGGAACUGAGACACGGUCCAGACUCCUACGGGAGGCAGCAGUGGGGAAUAUUGCACAAUGGGCGCAAGCCUGAUGCAGCCAUGCCGCG